This 2582-nucleotide small RNA is filed under the name Pan troglodytes (chimpanzee). Its description in RNAcentral is "processed transcript". The record is from RNAcentral. Lineage: Eukaryota; Metazoa; Chordata; Mammalia; Primates; Hominidae.
GGGUUUCCUGGUGGGCGUCAGGGGCAGGCGACAGAGUGGCGGCCGCUACGGCCCUGGAACGGGGCCAUGGAGAAGCUGCGGCGAGUCCUGAGCGGCCAGGACGACGAGGAGCAGGGCCUGACUGCGCAGGAUUCACAGAUUAAUCUCUUGAGGUCCUGGAUGCCUCAUCCCUUAGUUUCAACACCAGAUUGAAAUGGUUUGCCAUCUGCUUCGUAUGUGGCAUUUUCUUUUCUAUUCUUGGAACUGGAUUGCUGUGGCUUCCGGGAGGCAUAAAGCUUUUUGCAGUGUUUUAUACCCUCGGCAAUCUUGCUGCGUUAGCCAGUACAUGCUUUUUAAUGGGACCUGUGAAGCAACUGAAGAAAAUGUUUGAAGCAACAAGAUUGCUUGCAACAAUUGUUAUGCUCUUGUGUUUCGUAUUUACCCUGUGUGCUGCUCUUUGGUGGCAUAAGAAGGGACUGGCUGUGUUAUUCUGCAUAUUGCAGUUCUUGUCAAUGACCUGGUAAGUCUUUCCUUACCCUAGUGAAGUGUUAAAAUUGCCUGAGAUGUGACGAGCAUUUUGUUUGGGACCUGUGAAGCCCUAGCAUUUCGUCUGGUGUUUUGGAGCCAGACAGGCCCUGCAGGGUCAGAGGAGGGGAGGUCUGCGAUGAGUCCUGUUGCACUUGACAGCGUGGCUCAGUGGUACUGUUCGGGAGAAGUAUGGGGUGCUGUGCUCGUAGAGUUACAUAGUGAUAUGUUCUGCUUCUUUCUAAUGUGAGAAAGAGAAAUAAUAAGAAAAGUAGGUGAUGCCAUGUGAAUACAUAAAAGUGAGACCAAAUCACAGGGUGAGACCAAGGGAAGAUGAGUUUACCUGCAUUCUCCACUCUAUUGCUAGAUAAAUACAAGGUGGAAUUUAUCCUGAUGUUGACUCUGUGGCCCUGUGAUAUCUGGAGAUGUCUUCUGAAUUGGCAGUGAUUAAAUACUUCUUAAGUUACUGGUUGAGCAUCCCAAAUCCAAAAUGCUUCAGGAUCCAAAACUUUUUUUUUUUUUUUUUUUUUUUUUGAGGCAGAGUCUCACUGUCACCCAGGCUGGAGUGCAGUGGCAUUAUCUUGGCUCACUGCAACCUCUGCCUCCCGGGUUCAAGUGAUUCUCGUGCCUCAGCCUUCCAAGUAGCUGGGAUUACAAAUGUGAGGCACCAUGCCCAGCCCCAAAUCCAAAACUUCUUGAACGCUGACAUGAUGCUCAGAUUUGGUUGAUACUCAACCAGUAAAUGUAAUGCAGAUAUUCCAAAAAUCCAGAAAAAUCCAGUAUCCAACACAUUUCUAGUCCCUAUCAUUUCAGAUCAGAGAUGCUUCACCUGCACUGCCUUUCCCAGUCCACUUUUGUGAAUAUUCAGUCAUGUCCUGGUCUCUGCUCAGACUCUCCUCCUUGUAGCCUUUUUGUGUCUUGCACAGUAAGAGCUCAUCUGCAUAAAGGCCAUAAAUAUCUGGGUGGUUGAUUAAACGUGCCCUGCAGCUCCUGCGCUCUUCUGUGUUAGUGAAGAGGACUUUUCCUUUUCCUUUAGAGCAGCUCUUGCUUCCUAAUUUUUGCUUCCUGUUUUUGCCAUUUUACAUUCCUCUUACUCGAUGUUACCCAGUUUGGGAUCGCCUUUCUUUUGGCCCUCUUUCUACUGACAGGUGAAACAUCAAUGAAUGUUAAAUGUAAUUCUCUGUAUAUCUCAAAUUCACCAUAAAAUGUUCUUUACUUUUUUUCACUGAUAUGUGAAGAAACUUAAUCUCUUGGUUAUUUUCUCUAGUAUUUUGCCUUUUAUUGCCUAAUUUGUAACUAAUAAUUGAUUUAUCCCUAAAGGAGACUAUAAUUAUCAGUUGUGGUACAGUUUCUAUUUUAUUAUAAGAAGCUCAAACUUCAGCAUGCACCAGAAUCACCUAGAGAGUUUGUUUAAAGUGCAGGUUGCUUGUUAAAGCAAGCUUGUGAUUUAGGAGGUUUAAGGUAGGACCUAAUAAUCUACAUUUUUAACAAGUUCCCAGAUGAUGCUCUCACUGCUGGUCGGGGUCACACUUUGAGAACCACUGUACAGUCUCAUGCUGCUGUAUUUAUUAUAAGGUUAGACAUGGCCUUUUGGCAUAAAGAAAAACCAUCAUUCAGAUGAAGAUUCAACAUGCUUGAAUAUUUCUUGCAGGUAUAGCCUGUCGUACAUCCCAUAUGCAAGGGAUGCAGUUAUUAAAUGCUGUUCUUCUCUCCUAAGUUGAAAAUCAGAAACUUGUGGAAAAGAGCACUUGAAUGUUGGUACUCUAUGUUUGGUGAAGUUUGCUUUUCCCCAUAAAAUACUCCAGGAACAACUGACGUGACAGUUGAAGACCGUUUUGUACUAAGUCUCAUUUUGUAUACUGGUAAAAACUACAUGCUUGAUUAAACCAUUAAAUGCUUGUAACUUUAAAUUCAUUAUGUGUCAUUAAUAUACUUUUACAAAGAUAAGAUUUUUAAUCACUGCCAGUUGUAAAUUAUUUUUAGCCAAUUUUUAAAUCUUUUCAAAGCAGCUUUGAAAUGUGAAUAUUUAAGGGUAGACCUGUGCUGCAAGAUAAUUAAACUUUUUUGCUUUUAAAAAA